Molecule: ribosomal RNA, 204 nt
Filed under: uncultured bacterium
Lineage: Bacteria
Description: partial 16S ribosomal RNA
Rfam family: Bacterial small subunit ribosomal RNA
Source: RNAcentral
UACGUAGGGGGCAAGCGUUGUCCGGAUUUAUUGGGCGUAAAGAGCGUGUAGGCGGUUUGGUAGGUCCGCUGUGAAAACUCGAGCUCAACCUCGAGACGCCGGUGGAAACCAUCAGACUAGAGUCCGGAAGAGGAGAGUGGAAUUCCUGGUGUAGCGGUGAAAUGCGCAGAUAUCAGGAAGAACACCCGUGGCUAAGGCGGCCUC